CCUACGGGAGGCAGCAGUGAGGAAUAUUGGUCAAUGGGCGGAAGCCUGAACCAGCCAAGUCGCGUGAGGGACUAAGGCCCUACGGGUUGUAAACCUCUUUUGCCGGGGAUCAGUGCCCAGCUCGCGAGCUGGGAGGGAGCGUACCCGGAGAAAAAGCAUCGGCUAACCCCGUGCCAGAAGCCGCGGUAUUACGGGGGAUGCGAGCGUUAUCCGUAUUUAUUGGGUUUAAAGGGUGCGUAGGCGGGCCUUCAGGCCGGCGGUAAAAUUGCGGGGCUAAACCCCGCCGAGCCGUCGGAACCGGGUGCCUUGAGUACCGGAGAAGUACGCGGAAUGCGUGGUGUAGCGGUGAAAUGCAUAGAUAUCACGCAGAACCCCGAUUGCGAAGGCAGCGUACCGGCCGGUCACUGACGCUGAGGCACGAAAGCGCGGGUAUCGAACAGGAUUAGAUACCCCUGUAGUC
Molecule: ribosomal RNA, 460 nt
Filed under: uncultured bacterium
Lineage: Bacteria
Description: partial 16S ribosomal RNA
Rfam family: Bacterial small subunit ribosomal RNA
Source: RNAcentral